This is a long non-coding RNA of Haliotis rufescens (red abalone), 244 nucleotides long. RefSeq lists it as uncharacterized. The record is from RefSeq and is a predicted model, not a curated record. The transcript has 3 exons. Lineage: Eukaryota; Metazoa; Mollusca; Gastropoda; Lepetellida; Haliotidae.
UUUCAGCGGUACACUCUCCACUUGUAGAGUAUAUCUCCAAGAUUGCGAUGAGGCAUGGCUCAACAUGGCUUUUAUCUCUGACUGAAUUCCAUCUGAUGAGACUAUCUGCAGAAACACAGACACCACACUUUUAAACAAUGGAUGACGUGUUGGGGUGAGGAAUCGAGGAGUGCAAGGUUCAGUCUUUCUGGGCAGGAACUUCUAUCUGUAACAGGACCCCAGAAAUACAAGAAUAUGCAGGUAC